UAUUUAUUUAGUAUAUGCAUAAGUAUACUAAGCUUCCAACUUAAAGGACUAAAUAAGAAUAAAUAA
Molecule: transfer RNA, 66 nt
Filed under: Pedionis papillata
Lineage: Eukaryota; Metazoa; Arthropoda; Insecta; Hemiptera; Cicadellidae
Description: tRNA-Gly
Source: RNAcentral